UUUAUUCUGGGAUGUUGGUAGGAUUCAGUAAAAUUCAACCUACAAUACUGAUUCGGGAGAUAAUAUUUUUAAUAGGACGAAAUGCCUCCUUUGAGUGGACUUCGAAGUUUUAAAAUGUUACACCCACCUUGCGAGAGCGAGGGCGUGAAUUUUGCGGCUUACGGCAUCUUGGAUAAACU
Molecule: non-coding RNA, 179 nt
Filed under: Alkaliphilus oremlandii OhILAs
Lineage: Bacteria; Bacillati; Bacillota; Clostridia; Peptostreptococcales; Natronincolaceae
Description: 6S / SsrS RNA
Rfam family: 6S / SsrS RNA
About the family: E. coli 6S RNA was the first non coding RNA to be sequenced, but its function was unknown until recently. It consists of 184 nucleotides that fold into an extended hairpin structure with a large single-stranded internal bulge.
Source: Rfam by way of RNAcentral